This 492-nucleotide ribosomal RNA is filed under the name uncultured bacterium. RNAcentral's name for it is "partial 16S ribosomal RNA". It matches the Rfam family "Bacterial small subunit ribosomal RNA", at positions 29 to 507 of the family's 1533-position model. The record is from RNAcentral.
AGUGAACGCUGGCGGUAGGCCUAACACAUGCAAGUCGAACGGCAGCACAGUAAGAGCUUGCUCUUACGGGUGGCGAGUGGCGGACGGGGGAGGAAUACAUCGGAACCUACUUUUUCGUGGGGGAUAACGUAGGGAAACUUACGCUAAUACCGCAUACGACCUACGGGUGAAAGCAGGGGAUCUUCGGACCUUGCGCGAUUGAAUGAGCCGAUGUCGGAUUAGCUAGUUGGCGGGGUAAAGGCCCACCAAGGCGACGAUCCGUAGCUGGUCUGAGAGGAUGAUCAGCCACACUGGAACUGAGACACGGUCCAGACUCCUACGGGAGGCAGCAGUGGGGAAUAUUGGACAAUGGGCGCAAGCCUGAUCCAGCCAUACCGCGUGGGUGAAGAAGGCCUUCGGGUUGUAAAGCCCUUUUGUUGGGAAAGAAAAGCAGCAGGUUAAUACCCCGCUGUUCUGACGGUACCCAAAGAAUAAGCACCGGCUAACUUCGUG